RNAcentral lists this ribosomal RNA (494 nucleotides) under uncultured bacterium. RNAcentral describes it as "bacterial SSU rRNA". It matches the Rfam family "Bacterial small subunit ribosomal RNA", at positions 29 to 523 of the family's 1533-position model. The record is from RNAcentral.
AGCGAACGUUUGCGGCGGGCCUAACACAUGCAAGUCGGAACGCACUAGCAAUAGUGAGUGGCGCACGGGUGCGUAACACGUGGGUAAUCAACCCUUCAGCUUGGGAUAACGACUUGAAAGGGUCGCUAAUACCGGAUACGGCGAGAGAGGCUUCGGCAUUUCUCGAGAAAGCCUCGCAAGGGGCACUGAAGGACGAGCCUGCGGCCCAUCAGCUAGUUGGUGAGGUAAGAGCUCACCAAGGCGAAGACGGGUAGCUGGUCUGAGAGGAUGAUCAGCCACACUGGAACUGAGACACGGUCCAGACUCCUACGGGAGGCAGCAGUGGGGAAUAUUGCGCAAUGGGCGAAAGCCUGACGCAGCCACGCCGCGUGAGCGAUGAAGGCCUUGGUCGUAAAGCUCUGUGGGGAGGGACGGAAGAAAGCCCGUGAAGAGCGGGCCUUGACGGUAUCGUCCUUAGCAAGCACCGGCUAACUCCGUGCCAGCAGCCGCGGUAA